This 352-nucleotide ribosomal RNA is filed under the name uncultured bacterium KH1-2-12. Its description in RNAcentral is "bacterial SSU rRNA". It matches the Rfam family "Bacterial small subunit ribosomal RNA", at positions 515 to 873 of the family's 1533-position model. The record is from RNAcentral.
CCGCGGUAAUACGUAGGGGGCAAGCGUUAUCCGGAUUUAUUGGGCGUAAAGAGCGCGUAGACGGGCUGUUAAGCGCGAUGUGAAAACUGGGGGCUCAACCCGCAGCUUGCAUCGUGAACUGGCAGUCUUGAGUCUGGUAAGGAGUGUGGAAUUCCCAGUGUAUCGGUGAAAUGCGCAAUAUUGGGAGGAACACCAGUGGCAAGACGGCACUCUGGGCCACGACUACGCUGAGGCGCGAAAGCUAGGGGAGCAACAGGAUUAGAUACCCUGGUAGUCCUAGCCGUAAACGAUGGGCACUAGGUGUGGGGGGUUAUCAACUCCCUCCGUGCCGCAGCUACGCAUUAGGNCCGCU